UACGGAGGGUGCAAGCGUUAUCCGGAUUUACUGGGUUUAAAGGGUGCGUAGGUGGGUAGGUAAGUCAGUGGUGAAAUCUUCGAGCUUAACUCGGAAACUGCCAUUGAUACUAUUUAUCUUGAAUACUCUGGAGGUAAGCGGAAUAUGUCAUGUAGCGGUGAAAUGCUUAGAUAUGACAUAGAACACCAAUUGCGAAGGCAGCUUACUACCUAGUUAUUGACACUGAGGCACGAAAGCGUGGGGAUCAAACAGG
This 253-nucleotide ribosomal RNA is filed under the name uncultured bacterium. RNAcentral's name for it is "partial 16S ribosomal RNA". It matches the Rfam family "Bacterial small subunit ribosomal RNA", at positions 524 to 776 of the family's 1533-position model. The record is from RNAcentral.